Long non-coding RNA from Camelina sativa (false flax), 695 nucleotides. RefSeq lists it as uncharacterized. NCBI's taxonomy places the organism in Eukaryota, Viridiplantae, Streptophyta, Magnoliopsida, Brassicales, Brassicaceae. The record is from RefSeq and is a predicted model, not a curated record.
ACCCGCAAGAGAAGUCGUCCAUAGCUUUCAAGUCUCUGUCUUAUCUCUCCAUGCUUAUCUUCUUUGGCUGAUUCUCUACCAUUUCUUAAACUGUCUCUUACCUUUCACCUCUCUAUUUAUAUGAAUGCAUAGACGUACGUUAGUAAUAUUGAUAAGUAAAGAGGAUUGUUAAGAUGACAUCUUCUAUAGUCACUCCCAUUGUUCUCUUUCUUCUUCUUCUUCUCGUGUCUCCACAUAUGAAUGAAGCCCUUGGUACACAAAUGGAACUAGGCAAACUUGGUGAAGAAAAGACAAACCAUCCUGAUCAAGUGAUGGUCCAAAGGAUUCCACGGUUUUCAAUUGCGCGACGGUUUUUAGCGAGUCCGUGCCCAUUCUACUCCCGAUGUAAGCCUUCAUACUCACUUCCAAAACCUCCACAACUUCCUCCGUGCCAAGUCUAUAACCGAUGUAAGCGUCAUCCUCCGCUUUCAAGCUCUCCCAAAAGCACAAACGGACUUGGUCACUGAUCUCAUUAUAGCUUCGGAUGCCUCUAUAUGUAGAUGCACGUUUUCUACAUUGUGGUUUGGUUUGCAAUUUCUGUUCUUCAUCCAUAUGCAUGUGUUAUUUGUCAUAAUUUACAAAGUUAUCUAAUGCAAAAAUACAUACAUAUAAAUAUAUCAACUGGGCUACUAGAAGUUCCCUUCCUUGGUUGAUCA